RNAcentral lists this ribosomal RNA (438 nucleotides) under Triticum aestivum (bread wheat). RNAcentral describes it as "partial small subunit ribosomal RNA". The record is from RNAcentral. Lineage: Eukaryota; Viridiplantae; Streptophyta; Magnoliopsida; Poales; Poaceae.
AUGCUCGGCGUGCUCGCCAUCGAGGCAGCGUUCAUGGCUGCCGUGGUGGCCGGUGUGCUCGUCGGCGCCCACACCCAUGAGAAGCGCUCCAUGAUCGUAGGCAUCCUCUGCGUCAUCUUCGGCUCCAUCAUGUACGCCUCCCCGCUCACCAUCAUGGGUAAAGUGAUCAGGACCAAGAGUGUGGAGUACAUGCCAUUCUUCCUGUCGCUGGUGAACUUCCUCAAUGGCUUGUGCUGGACGGGCUAUGCGCUCAUCAAGUUUGACAUCUACAUCACGAUCCCCAAUGCCCUCGGUACAAUGUUCGGCCUCAUCCAGCUGAUCCUGUACUUUUACUACUACAAGUCGACCCCCAAGAAGGGCAAGAACGUUGAACUUCCCACUGUCCUCACCAAAAACACCGUUACCAGCGGCAACGUCUCCGUCACCGUUGAGAAAUAA